Regulatory RNA element from Actinotalea ferrariae CF5-4, 46 nucleotides. It matches the Rfam family "L31-Actinobacteria ribosomal protein leader". NCBI's taxonomy places the organism in Bacteria, Bacillati, Actinomycetota, Actinomycetes, Micrococcales, Cellulomonadaceae. The record is from Rfam.
UUGGUCUCCGGUUCCCGUGGACGAGCCCGUCCGCGACCCGGAGGUC